GAUGAAGAACGCAGCGAAAUGCGAUACGUAAUGUGAAUUGCAGAAUUCAGUGAAUCAUCGAGUCUUUGAACGCACAUUGCGCCCCCUGGUAUUCCGGGGGGCAUGCCUGUCCGAGCGUCAUUGCUGCCCUCAAGCACGGCUUGUGUGUUGGGCCUCCGCCCCCCGGCUCCCGGGGGGCGGGCCCGAAAGGCAGCGGCGGCACCGCGUCCGGUCCUCGAGCGUAUGGGGCUUCGUCACCCGCUCCGUAGGCCCGGCCGGCGCCCGCCGGCGACCCCCCUCAAUCUUUCCAGGUUGACCUCGGAUCAGGUAGGAACACCCGCUGAACUUAAGCAUAUCAAUAAGCGGAGGA
This 349-nucleotide unclassified non-coding RNA is filed under the name soil metagenome. Its description in RNAcentral is "partial contains 5.8S ribosomal RNA, internal transcribed spacer 2, and large subunit ribosomal RNA". The stretch from base 1 to 120 matches the Rfam family "5.8S ribosomal RNA", at positions 35 to 154 of the family's 154-position model. The record is from RNAcentral.